CAGUAGCCACGGUAAUACGCAGGGUGCAAGCGUUAAUCGGAAUUACUGGGCGUAAAGCGUGCGCAGGCGGUUUGUUAAGACAGAUGUGAAAUCCCCGGGCUCAACCUGGGAACUGCAUUUGUGACUGGCAAGCUAGAGUCUGGCAGAGGGGGGUGGAAUUCCGCGUGUAGCAGUGAAAUGCGUAGAUAUGCGGAGGAACACCGAUGGCGAAGGCAGCCCCCUGGGCCAACACUGACGCUCAUGCACGAAAGCGUGGGGAGCAAACAGGAUUAGAUACCCGCGUAGUCCCUGUCUCUUAUAC
This 301-nucleotide ribosomal RNA is filed under the name uncultured bacterium. RNAcentral describes it as "partial 16S ribosomal RNA". It matches the Rfam family "Bacterial small subunit ribosomal RNA", at positions 509 to 807 of the family's 1533-position model. The record is from RNAcentral.